GAUGAACGCUGGCGGCGUGCCUAAUACAUGCAAGUCGAGCGAACGGACGAGAAGCUUGCUUCUCUGAUGUUAGCGGCGGACAGGUGAGUAACACGUGGAUAACCUACCUAUAAGACUGGGAUAACUUCGGGAAACCGGAGCUAAUACCGGAUAAUAUUUUGAACCGCAUGGUUCAAAAGUGAAAGACGGUCUUGCUGUCACUUAUAGAUGGAUCCGCGCUGCAUUAGCUAGUUGGUAAGGUAACGGCUUACCAAGGCAACGAUGCAUAGCCGACCUGAGAGGGUGAUCGGCCACACUGGAACUGAGAUACGGUCCAGACUCCUACGGGAGGCAGCAGUAGGGAAUCUUCCGCAAUGGGCGAAAGCCUGACGGAGCAACGCCGCGUGAGUGAUGAAGGUCUUCGGAUCGUAAAACUCUGUUAUUAGGGAAGAACAUAUGUGUAAGUAACUGUGCACAUCUUGACGGUACCUAAUCAGAAAGCCACGGCUAACUACGUGCCAGCAGCCGCGGUAAUACGUAGGUGGCAAGCGUUAUCCGGAAUUAUUGGGCGUAAAGCGCGCGUAGGCGGUUUUUUAAGUCUGAUGUGAAAGCCCACGGCUCAACCGUGGAGGGUCAUUGGAAACUGGAAAACUUGAGUGCAGAAGAGGAAAGUGGAAUUCCAUGUGUAGCGGUGAAAUGCGCAGAGAUAUGGAGGAACACCAGUGGCGAAGGCGACUUUCUGGUCUGUAACUGACGCUGAUGUGCGAAAGCGUGGGGAUCAAACAGGAUUAGAUACCCUGGUAGUCCACGCCGUAAACGAUGAGUGCUAAGUGUUAGGGGGUUUCCGCCCCUUAGUGCUGCAGCUAACGCAUUAAGCACUCCGCCUGGGGAGUACGACCGCAAGGUUGAAACUCAAAGGAAUUGACGGGGACCCGCACAAGCGGUGGAGCAUGUGGUUUAAUUCGAAGCAACGCGAAGAACCUUACCAAAUCUUGACAUCCUUUGACAACUCUAGAGAUAGAGCCUUCCCCUUCGGGGGACAAAGUGACAGGUGGUGCAUGGUUGUCGUCAGCUCGUGUCGUGAGAUGUUGGGUUAAGUCCCGCAACGAGCGCAACCCUUAAGCUUAGUUGCCAUCAUUAAGUUGGGCACUCUAAGUUGACUGCCGGUGACAAACCGGAGGAAGGUGGGGAUGACGUCAAAUCAUCAUGCCCCUUAUGAUUUGGGCUACACACGUGCUACAAUGGACAAUACAAAGGGCAGCGAAACCGCGAGGUCAAGCAAAUCCCAUAAAGUUGUUCUCAGUUCGGAUUGUAGUCUGCAACUCGACUACAUGAAGCUGGAAUCGCUAGUAAUCGUAGAUCAGCAUGCUACGGUGAAUACGUUCCCGGGUCU
This 1372-nucleotide ribosomal RNA is filed under the name uncultured bacterium. RNAcentral's name for it is "bacterial SSU rRNA". It matches the Rfam family "Bacterial small subunit ribosomal RNA", at positions 28 to 1381 of the family's 1533-position model. The record is from RNAcentral.